Molecule: ribosomal RNA, 1395 nt
Filed under: uncultured bacterium
Lineage: Bacteria
Description: bacterial SSU rRNA
Rfam family: Bacterial small subunit ribosomal RNA
Source: RNAcentral
AGAGUUUGAUCCUGGCUCAGGAUGAACGCUAGCGGCAGGCCUAACACAUGCAAGUCGAGGGGUAACAGGGGAGCUUGCUCCCGCUGACGACCGGCGAAUGGGUGCGUAACGCGUAUGGAACCUGCCCACCGCAGGGGGAUAGCCCGUCGAAAGGCGGAUCAAUACCCCAUGGUCCCUAGGGCCCGCAUGGGCUUCAGGGUAAAGAUUUAUCGGCGGUGGAUGGCCAUGCGUGCCAUUAGCUAGUCGGUGGGGUAACGGCCCACCGAGGCGAUGAUGGCUAGGGGGUCUGAGAGGAUGGUCCCCCACACUGGUACUGAGACACGGACCAGACUCCUACGGGAGGCAGCAGUGAGGAAUAUUGGUCAAUGGGCGGAAGCCUGAACCAGCCAUGCCGCGUGCAGGAUUGACGGCCCUACGGGUUGUAAACUGCUUUUGCGCGGGAAGAAUAACCCCCUCGUGAGGGGGGAUGCCGGUACCGCGCGAAUAAGGAUCGGCUAACUCCGUGCCAGCAGCCGCGGUAAUACGGAGGAUCCGAGCGUUAUCCGGAUUUACUGGGUUUAAAGGGUGCUCAGGCGGGCCAUUAAGUCGGCGGUGAAAUUUUGCGGCUCAACCGUAAAAGUGCCUUCGAUACUGUUUGGCUAGGAUUUGGUUGUAGUGUGCGGAAUGUGUGGUGUAGCGGUGAAAUGCUUAGAUAUCACACAGAACACCGAUUGCGAAGGCAGCACACUAAGUCAUUAUUGACGCUGAGGCACGAAAGUGUGGGGAUCAAACAGGAUUAGAUACCCUGGUAGUCCACACUGUAAACGAUGAUAACUCGCUGUCGGCGAUACACAGUCGGUGGCCAAGCGAAAGCAUUAAGUUAUCCACCUGGGGAGUACGACCGCAAGGUUGAAACUCAAAGGAAUUGACGGGGGCCCGCACAAGCGGAGGAACAUGUGGUUUAAUUCGAUGAUACGCGAGGAACCUUACCCGGGCUCGAACGGUGCAUGAAUAUACGAGAGAUUGUAUAGUCCUUCGGGACAUGUAUCGAGGUGCUGCAUGGUUGUCGUCAGCUCGUGCCGUGAGGUGUCGGCUUAAGUGCCAUAACGAGCGCAACCCUUGUCAUUAGUUGCCAUCAGGUCAAGCUGGGGACUUUAAUGAGACUGCCACCGUAAGGUGUGAGGAAGGGGGGGAGGACGUCAAAUCAGCACGGCCCUUAUGUCCGGGGCGACACACGUGUUACAAUGGGAGGUACAGUGGGAAGCUACCUGGCGACAGGUUGCGGAUCCCCAAAUCCUUUCUCAGUUCGGAUCGGAGUCUGUAACUCGACUCCGUGAAGUUGGAUUCGCUAGUAAUCGCGCAUCAGCCAUGGCGCGGUGAAUACGUUCCCGGGCCUUGUACUCACCGCCCGUCAAG